RNAcentral lists this unclassified non-coding RNA (380 nucleotides) under uncultured Chloroflexota bacterium. RNAcentral's name for it is "uncultured Chloroflexi bacterium contains 16S-23S intergenic spacer region". Lineage: Bacteria; Bacillati; Chloroflexota. The record is from RNAcentral.
UCCCCGUUCACCGGGGCAGUCCCCUCAGAGUGCCCGGCAUGACCCGGUAGCAACAAAGGGCAAGGGUUGCGCUCGUUGCGGGACUUAACCCAACACCUCACGGCACGAGCUGACGACAGCCGUGCAGCACCUGUGCACGCUCCCUUGCGGGUCCCUCGGGUUUCCCCUCAGUACCACGUGCAUGUCAAGCCCGGGUAAGGUUCUUCGCGUUGCAUCGAAUUAAACCACACGCUCCGCUGCUUGUGCGGGCCCCCGUCAAUUCCUUUGAGUUUUAGCCUUGCGGCCGUAGUCCCCAGGCGGGGUGCUUACUGCGUUAGCUGCGGCACCGCGGGGGUCGAUACCCCUCACGUCUAAUGUGCAUCGUUUACGGCUAGGACUAC